GAUGAACGCUGGCGGCGUGCCUAACACAUGCAAGUCGAACGGAGUCGUUUUGGAAAUCUCUUCGGAGAUGGAAUUCUCGACUUAGUGGCGGACGGGUGAGUAACGCGUGAGCAAUCUGCCUUUAAGAGGGGGAUAACAGUCGGAAACGGCUGCUAAUACCGCAUAAAGCAUUAAAUUCGCAUGUUUUUGAUGCCAAAGGAGCAAUCCGCUUUUAGAUGAGCUCGCGUCUGAUUAGCUAGUUGGCGGGGUAACGGCCCACCAAGGCGACGAUCAGUAGCCGGACUGAGAGGUUGAACGGCCACAUUGGGACUGAGACACGGCCCAGACUCCUACGGGAGGCAGCAGUGGGGAAUAGUGCGCAAUGGGGGAAACCCUGACGCAGCAACGCCGCGUGAUUGAAGAAGGCCUUCGGGGUGUAAAGAUCUUUAAUCAGGGACGAAACAAAUGACGGUACCUGAAGAAUAAGCUCCGGCUAACUACGUG
This 483-nucleotide ribosomal RNA is filed under the name uncultured bacterium. RNAcentral describes it as "partial 16S ribosomal RNA". It matches the Rfam family "Bacterial small subunit ribosomal RNA", at positions 28 to 507 of the family's 1533-position model. The record is from RNAcentral.